This 468-nucleotide ribosomal RNA is filed under the name uncultured bacterium. Its description in RNAcentral is "partial 16S ribosomal RNA". It matches the Rfam family "Bacterial small subunit ribosomal RNA", at positions 28 to 507 of the family's 1533-position model. The record is from RNAcentral.
GACGAACGCUGGCGGCGUGCUUAACACAUGCAAGUCGAACGGAAAGGCCCUGCUUUUGUGGGGUGCUCGAGUGGCGAACGGGUGAGUAACACGUGAGUAACCUGCCCUUGACUUUGGGAUAACUUCAGGAAACUGGGGCUAAUACCGGAUAGGAGCUCCUGCUGCAUGGUGGGGGUUGGAAAGUUUCGGCGGUUGGGGAUGGACUCGCGGCUUAUCAGCUUGUUGGUGGGGUAGUGGCUUACCAAGGAUUUGACGGGUAGCCGGCCUGAGAGGGUGACCGGCCACAAUGGGACUGAGAUACGGCCCAGACUCCUACGGGAGGCAGCAGUGGGGAAUAUUGCACAAUGGGCGGAAGCCUGAGGCAGCAACGCCGCGUGCGGGAUGACGGCCUUCGGGUUGUAAACCGCUUUCGCCUGUGACGAAGCGUGAGUGACGGUAAUGGGUAAAGAAGCACCGGCUAACUACGUG